UACGAAGGGGGCUAGCGUUGCUCGGAUUGACUGGGCGUAAAGGGCGCGUAGGCGGUUCGUACAGUCAGACGUGAAAUUCCUGGGCUCAACCUGGGGGCUGCGUUUGAUACGUGCGGACUUGAGUGCGGAAGAGGGUCGUGAAAUUCCCAGUGUAGAGGUGAAAUUCGUAGAUAUUGGGAAGAACACCCGUGGCGAAGGCGGUUCUCUGGGACGGUACUGACGCUGAGACGCGAAAGCGUGGGGAGCGAACAGG
This 253-nucleotide ribosomal RNA is filed under the name uncultured bacterium. Its description in RNAcentral is "partial 16S ribosomal RNA". It matches the Rfam family "Bacterial small subunit ribosomal RNA", at positions 524 to 776 of the family's 1533-position model. The record is from RNAcentral.